RNAcentral lists this ribosomal RNA (739 nucleotides) under uncultured bacterium. RNAcentral describes it as "bacterial SSU rRNA". It matches the Rfam family "Bacterial small subunit ribosomal RNA", at positions 37 to 817 of the family's 1533-position model. The record is from RNAcentral.
UGGCGGCAGGUAUUAACACAUGCAACCCCGAGCGCCCCACCUGUGGGGAGCGGCGGACGGGAUAGUAACGCGUGGGAACGUGCCCUUUUCUGCGGAAUAGCCUCUGGAAACGGAGAGUAAUACCGCAUACGCCCUUUUGGGGAAAGAUUUAUCGGAGAAGGAUCGGCCCGCGUUAGAUUAGGUAGUUGGUGGGGUAAUGGCCUACCAAGCCUACGAUCUAUAGCUGGUUUGAGAGGAUGAUCAGCAACACUGGGACUGAGACACGGCCCAGACUCCUACGGGAGGCAGCAGUGGGGAAUCUUAGACAAUGGGGGCAACCCUGAUCUAGCCAUGCCGCGUGAGUGAAGAAGGCCCUAGGGUCGUAAAGCUCUUUCGCCUGUGAUGAUAAUGACAGUAGCAGGUAAAGAAACCCCGGCUAACUCCGUGCCAGCAGCCGCGGUAAUACGGAGGGGGUUAGCGUUGUUCGGAAUUACUGGGCGUAAAGCGCACGUAGGCGGACUAAUCAGUCAGGGGUGAAAUCCCGGGGCUCAACCCCGGAACUGCCUUUGAUACUGCUAGUCUUGAGUUCGAGAGAGGUGAGUGGAAUUCCAAGUGUAGAGGUGAAAUUCGUAGAUAUUUGGAGGAACACCAGUGGCGAAGGCGGCUAACUGGCUCGAUACUGACGCUGAGGUGCGAAAGUGUGGGGAGCAAAACAGGAUUAGAAUACCCUGGUAGUCCACACCGUAAAACGAUGAAUGCC